AGUGAACGCUGGCGGCAGGCCUAACACAUGCAAGUCGAACGGCAGCACAGGGGAGCUUGCUCCCUGGGUGGCGAGUGGCGGACGGGUGAGGAAUACAUCGGAAUCUACCUUGUCGUGGGGGAUAACCUCGGGAAACCGGGACUAAUACCGCAUACGACCUACGGGUGAAAGCGGAGGACCGCAAGGCUUCGCGCGAUUGG
This 200-nucleotide ribosomal RNA is filed under the name uncultured bacterium. Its description in RNAcentral is "partial 16S ribosomal RNA". It matches the Rfam family "Bacterial small subunit ribosomal RNA", at positions 29 to 224 of the family's 1533-position model. The record is from RNAcentral.